This 74-nucleotide transfer RNA is filed under the name candidate division KSB3 bacterium. Its description in RNAcentral is "tRNA-Arg". It matches the Rfam family "tRNA". Rfam says of the family: Transfer RNA (tRNA) molecules are approximately 80 nucleotides in length. Their secondary structure includes four short double-helical elements and three loops (D, anti-codon, and T loops). The record is from RNAcentral.
GCGCCUGUAGCUCAGCUGGAUAGAGCAUCUGCCUUCUAAGCAGAGGGUUGGGGGUUCGAGUCCCUCCAGGCGUA